Molecule: ribosomal RNA, 308 nt
Filed under: uncultured bacterium
Lineage: Bacteria
Description: bacterial SSU rRNA
Rfam family: Bacterial small subunit ribosomal RNA
Source: RNAcentral
AAUCAACGCUGGCGGCGUGCCCCAGACAUGCAAGUCGAACGAUUAAAGACUCUCUUCGGAGAGUGUAUAGAGUGGCGCACGGGUGAGUAACACGUAAGUAAUCUACCUUCGAGUGGGAAGUAACGUCCGGAACGGACGCUAAUACCGCAUAAUGCAGCGGCAUCGCAAGAUGACAGUUGUUAAAGAUUUAUCGCUUGAAGAGGAGCUUGCGGCAGAUUAGCUAGUUGGUAAGGUAAUGGCUUACCAAGGCUACGAUCUGUAACCGGUCUAAGAGGACGGUCGGUCACACUGACACUGAAUAACGGGUC